RNAcentral lists this ribosomal RNA (2928 nucleotides) under Escherichia coli. RNAcentral's name for it is "23S ribosomal RNA". It matches the Rfam family "Bacterial large subunit ribosomal RNA". Lineage: Bacteria; Pseudomonadati; Pseudomonadota; Gammaproteobacteria; Enterobacterales; Enterobacteriaceae. The record is from RNAcentral.
GGGUUGUGAGGUUAAGCGACUAAGCGUACACGGUGGAUGCCCUGGCAGUCAGAGGCGAUGAAGGACGUGCUAAUCUGCGAUAAGCGUCGGUAAGGUGAUAUGAACCGUUAUAACCGGCGAUUUCCGAAUGGGGAAACCCAGUGUGAUUCGUCACACUAUCAUUAACUGAAUCCAUAGGUUAAUGAGGCGAACCGGGGGAACUGAAACAUCUAAGUACCCCGAGGAAAAGAAAUCAACCGAGAUUCCCCCAGUAGCGGCGAGCGAACGGGGAGCAGCCCAGAGCCUGAAUCAGUGUGUGUGUUAGUGGAAGCGUCUGGAAAGGCGCGCGAUACAGGGUGACAGCCCCGUACACAAAAAUGCACAUACUGUGAGCUCGAUGAGUAGGGCGGGACACGUGGUAUCCUGUCUGAAUAUGGGGGACCAUCCUCCAAGGCUAAAUACUCCUGACUGACCGAUAGUGAACCAGUACCGUGAGGGAAAGGCGAAAAGAACCCCGGCGAGGGGAGUGAAAAAGAACCUGAAACCGUGUACGUACAAGCAGUGGGAGCCUCUUAAUGGGGUGACUGCGUACCUUUUGUAUAAUGGGUCAGCGACUUAUAUUCUGUAGCAAGGUUAACCGAAUAGGGGAGCCGAAGGGAAACCGAGUCUUAACUGGGCGUUAAGUUGCAGGGUAUAGACCCGAAACCCGGUGAUCUAGCCAUGGGCAGGUUGAAGGUUGGGUAACACUAACUGGAGGACCGAACCGACUAAUGUUGAAAAAUUAGCGGAUGACUUGUGGCUGGGGGUGAAAGGCCAAUCAAACCGGGAGAUAGCUGGUUCUCCCCGAAAGCUAUUUAGGUAGCGCCUCGUGAAUUCAUCUCCGGGGGUAGAGCACUGUUUCGGCAAGGGGGUCAUCCCGACUUACCAACCCGAUGCAAACUGCGAAUACCGGAGAAUGUUAUCACGGGAGACACACGGCGGGUGCUAACGUCCGUCGUGAAGAGGGAAACAACCCAGACCGCCAGCUAAGGUCCCAAAGUCAUGGUUAAGUGGGAAACGAUGUGGGAAGGCCCAGACAGCCGGGAUGUUGGCUUAGAAGCAGCCAUCAUUUAAAGAAAGCGUAAUAGCUCACUGGUCGAGUCGGCCUGCGCGGAAGAUGUAACGGGGCUAAACCAUGCACCGAAGCUGCGGCAGCGACACUAUGUGUUGUUGGGUAGGGGAGCGUUCUGUAAGCCUGCGAAGGUGUACUGUGAGGUAUGCUGGAGGUAUCAGAAGUGCGAAUGCUGACAUAAGUAACGAUAAAGCGGGUGAAAAGCCCGCUCGCCGGAAGACCAAGGGUUCCUGUCCAACGUUAAUCGGGGCAGGGUGAGUCGACCCCUAAGGCGAGGCCGAAAGGCGUAGUCGAUGGGAAACAGGUUAAUAUUCCUGUACUUGGUGUUACUGCGAAGGGGGGACGGAGAAGGCUAUGUUGGCCGGGCGACGGUUGUCCCGGUUUAAGCGUGUAGGCUGGUUUUCCAGGCAAAUCCGGAAAAUCAAGGCUGAGGCGUGAUGACGAGGCACUACGGUGCUGAAGCAACAAAUGCCCUGCUUCGGGGAAAAGCCUCUAAGCAUCAGGUAACAUCAAAUCGUACCCCAAACCGACACAGGUGGUCAGGUAGAGAAUACCAAGGCGCUUGAGAGAACUCGGGUGAAGGAACUAGGCAAAAUGGUGCCGUAACUUCGGGAGAAGGCACGCUGAUAUGUAGGUGAAGUCCCUCGCGGAUGGAGCUGAAAUCAGUCGAAGAUACCAGCUGGCUGCAACUGUUUAUUAAAAACACAGCACUGUGCAAACACGAAAGUGGACGUAUACGGUGUGACGCCUGCCCGGUGCCGGAAGGUUAAUUGAUGGGGUUAGCGCAAGCGAAGCUCUUGAUCGAAGCCCCGGUAAACGGCGGCCGUAACUAUAACGGUCCUAAGGUAGCGAAAUUCCUUGUCGGGUAAGUUCCGACCUGCACGAAUGGCGUAAUGAUGGCCGGGCUGUCUCCACCCGAGACUCAGUGAAAUUGAACUCGCUGUGAAGAUGCAGUGUACCCGCGGCAAGACGGAAAGACCCCGUGAACCUUUACUAUAGCUUGACACUGAACAUUGAGCCUUGAUGUGUAGGAUAGGUGGGAGGCUUUGAAGUGUGGACGCCAGUCUGCAUGGAGCCGACCUUGAAAUACCACCCUUUAAUGUUUGAUGUUCUAACGUUGGCCCCUGAUCGGGGUUGCGGACAGUGUCUGGUGGGUAGUUUGACUGGGGCGGUCUCCUCCUAAAGAGUAACGGAGGAGCACGAAGGUUGGCUAAUCCUGGUCGGACAUCAGGAGGUUAGUGCAAUGGCAUAAGCCAGCUUGACUGCGAGCGUGACGGCGCGAGCAGGUGCGAAAGCAGGUCAUAGUGAUCCGGUGGUUCUGAAUGGAAGGGCCAUCGCUCAACGGAUAAAAGGUACUCCGGGGAUAACAGGCUGAUACCGCCCAAGAGUUCAUAUCGACGGCGGUGUUUGGCACCUCGAUGUCGGCUCAUCACAUCCUGGGGCUGAAGUAGGUCCCAAGGGUAUGGCUGUUCGCCAUUUAAAGUGGUACGCGAGCUGGGUUUAGAACGUCGUGAGACAGUUCGGUCCCCUAUCUGCCGUGGGCGCUGGAGAACUGAGGGGGGCUGCUCCUAGUACGAGAGGACCGGAGUGGACGCAUCACUGGUGUUCGGGUUGUCAUGCCAAUGGCACUGCCCGGUAGCUAAAUGCGGAAGAGAUAAGUGCUGAAAGCAUCUAAGCACGAAACUUGCCCCGAGAUGAGUUCUCCCUGACUCCCUGAGAGUCCUGAAGGAACGUUGAAGACGACGACGUUGAUAGGCCGGGUGUGUAAGCGCAGCGAUGCGUUGAGCUAACCGGUACUAAUGAACCGUGAGGCUUAACCUUACAACGCCGAAGCUGUU